GAUGAACGCUGGCGGCGUGCCUAAUACAUGCAAGUCGAGCGAACAGACUAGGAGCUUGCUCCUUUGACGUUAGCGGCGGACGGGUGAGUAACACGUGGAUAACCUACCUAUAAGACUGGGAUAACUUCGGGAAACCGGAGCUAAUACCGGAUAAUAUAUUGAACCGCAUGGUUCAAUAGUGAAAGACGGUUUUGCUGUCACUUAUAGAUGGAUCAGCGCCGCAUUAGCUAGUUGGUAAGGUAACGGCUUACCAAGGCAACGAUGCGUAGCCGACCUGAGAGGGUGAUCGGCCACACUGGAACUGGGACACGGUCCAGACUCCUACGGGAGGCAGCAGUAGGGAAUCUUCCGCAAUGGGCGAAAGCCUGACGGAGCAACGCCGCGUGAGUGAUGAAGGUCUUCGGAUCGUAAAACUCUGUUAUUAGGGAAGAACAAAUGUGUAAGUAACUAUGCACGUCUUGACGGUACCUAAUCAGAAAGCCACGGCUAACUACGUG
This 497-nucleotide ribosomal RNA is filed under the name uncultured bacterium. Its description in RNAcentral is "partial 16S ribosomal RNA". It matches the Rfam family "Bacterial small subunit ribosomal RNA", at positions 28 to 507 of the family's 1533-position model. The record is from RNAcentral.